GAGCGAACGCUGGCGGCAGGCCUAAUACAUGCAAGUCGAGCGGUCCCUUCGGGGGCAGCGGCGGACGGGUGAGUAACGCGUGGGAACGUGCCCUUUGGUACGGAACAACUGAGGGAAACUUCAGCUAAUACCGUAUGUGCCCUUCGGGGGAAAGAUUUAUCGCCAUUGGAGCGGCCCGCGUUAGAUUAGCUAGUUGGUGGGGUAAAGGCCUACCAAGGCGACGAUCUAUAGCUGGUCUGAGAGGAUGAUCAGCCACACUGGGACUGAGACACGGCCCAGACUCCUACGGGAGGCAGCAGUAGGGAAUCUUGCGCAAUGGGCGAAAGCCUGACGCAGCCAUGCCGCGUGAAUGAUGAAGGUCUUAGGAUUGUAAAAUUCUUUCACCGGGGACGAUAAUGACGGUACCCGGAGAAGAAGCCCCGGCUAACUUCGU
This 433-nucleotide ribosomal RNA is filed under the name Phenylobacterium sp. 'ARUP UnID 528 '. RNAcentral's name for it is "bacterial SSU rRNA". It matches the Rfam family "Bacterial small subunit ribosomal RNA", at positions 27 to 506 of the family's 1533-position model. The record is from RNAcentral. Lineage: Bacteria; Pseudomonadati; Pseudomonadota; Alphaproteobacteria; Caulobacterales; Caulobacteraceae.